Molecule: long non-coding RNA, 1326 nt
Organism: Mercurialis annua (annual mercury)
Lineage: Eukaryota; Viridiplantae; Streptophyta; Magnoliopsida; Malpighiales; Euphorbiaceae
Exons: 4
Source: RefSeq, a predicted model, not a curated record
ACCGUCAGAUCAUUUUCUGAUUAAUUUCCUCCCUAGAUCAUUCGACCAGCUACUUAUGCAGCCUGUGACAUAUUUAAAUCACUGUCAUCUCUUAACUUCUCAGCCGGUUAAAAAAAAUAGAGCUUUCUCAAGCCGCGUUGCCAUUUCCACUGGCCGGAUAUGCCUGACUUCUUUUCCCUUGGGCUAACGGUGCAGUCCCGUCAUCAUCUUUCUCACCUCCACGGAUGACUAAACUCUUUCUCCUAUCUACAGUACCACGAGCUUCAUCACUCUCGUGGGUGCGUCGGAGGAGUUCAUGUAUCGGUCAGUUAAGAGUUUUUUAACGGGCAAGCACGAGACGGUAUAAAAAGCUUCAGAGGAAAUUUGUAUUUUAACGAUAUUAUAGCAGUUGCCAACUGUGUGGUUUUGAUUGUUACCACUUACCAGGUUAGUACCUGAUGCAAUAGGGACCACAUGCAAGCCAUGGUUGAAAACAAUUAGUGGACACAGAAUUUACUCAUAUCUUGAGAGUUCAUUUUGGAUUAGAUAAAGCAAUUCUUAGAAAAUGGAUCCCAAGAUUUAUGUAUGGUCGUGCUUGGAAACCUUUGCUGAGCUAUCUUCGAGCUAUUUCACUUGCUUCCUCAAGCAGCAUCAAGGUUUCUUGAUAAACUUAUAACCUUGACCAUUAAUUUGAAAAAGGCUCUUCCCCAUAGACAAGUUUUCAGAAACAAUACAUAUCAACUUCUUUUUACUAAAUAAUUAAAUCGGUAUGCGACACUUACGAUUGAUUACUUUUUUGCUCGAUUAAGUAAUCUAAACUAUUUCAGACAUAAAUGUUAAAAUGUUGGAGCAGAUAAUUAGUUAUGGACAUGGAUUUUUUUGUUCUUUCGUUGGUAUUUUUUGUUCUCUUUCGACUUGCAGGUUCAUGUAGCAUUAUAUGAUCACGUGCAUGACAACUUUUAAGGGAUGAACUUGCAAAGUCUCCACAGAAGAUACUUGGUAGUGCCUUUUAGAAAUUAUACUAAAAGCAGAUGCAACAAUUCUCUUGGUUCUUCGUCUACAGCUGGGGCUUUAGUGGGUGAUGAAGGCAUCAUUGCCUCUCUACCUGAGGCUUUCAAUUUAUUGUUGUUUCCCAUGCUACAACUUCCGAUGCUUAUUUUCAAGGGCUUGCACUUAUUAAAACUUUAUUUAAACUGAUUCCUAGCUGGUUAUAUAGUAACCGUACAAGGUUUGAUACUUUAGUGCUAGUGCGGAAGCCACCUGCAAGAACUUUUCGUUGGCGAAAUGAACAAGAGCAUUGGUUCUUAAUCAUUGAACUAAUACUAAUGAAUUGAAUAGUUGUUUAUA